This 162-nucleotide ribosomal RNA is filed under the name uncultured bacterium. Its description in RNAcentral is "partial 16S ribosomal RNA". The record is from RNAcentral.
GCACAGAGUUAGCCAGUGCUUCCUCUCGCAGCUUACGUCAAACUGCUCCACUGUUCGUGAAGCAGCCUUCUUAACUCGUGACAGGAGUUUACAACCCGAAGGCCUUCGUCCUCCACGCGGCGUCGCUCCGUCAGGCUUUCGCCCAUUGCGGAAGAUUCUCGA